GCCGCGGUGAGUCCCGGCCGAGCAGCUGCGGCCCGGGAGCCUCGGGCGCGGCGGGCGGGGGGCGCGGGGCGCCGAUUGGAGCCCGCGCGUCAGCUGGGGCCGCCGUCUGGACGCUUAAAGGGCCAGGCCGCCCUGCGUGCUGGCUGGGGGCGCGGACGCGCGCCGUCUCGAUGCGGCUGCCCUCGGGAGAGCCUCGGGGUCCCCCGGCCGACCCGGCUGGUGACGUGGGAACGUUUGGACUUGCGACCCCACCCUCCCGCGCCGAGCCCCUCUCGGCCCUUCUCUGCUGGGAACUUGGGCCGGGAGUCUAACCCGGGUGUCCUCCGGCUGCUCUGCAGGGGCGGGGCCAGGGUAGGCGUGAGGUCGCUGAGCUGAGCGCGCCGCCCCCCGACCCACCUGCUCCCCUGAGUCAGGCGACCGGGAGGCCCCGAGCCCCGCACCCCAGCCGCGCUCACCUCCCGCUCCCUGUGACCCCGGCCGCUCCGACUUGGGGGUGUUUUGCCUGCAUGUAUGUCUACAUCACUGGCAUGCUUGGUAAGCAGAGGCCAGGAGUUGAAUCCUCUGGAACUGGAGUUAUGAUUGUGAGCUGCCAUGCUGGUUUUUCCAACUGAACCUGGAUCCUCGGGAAGAGCAGCCCAUCUAAGCCCCCACAUCCCUCACAGGGCUGGGCCCAUGCCUUUCUCUGGCUGAUUAAAGAAGUGAGAUGAUGACCCAGUACUGUCCAGCUCACCAAGCAGGCUGUCAUCAGGUACAGAUAAAGUUCCGUGAAGUCUACAAAGACCACAACCGACUUCCUUGGUAUCCUCUCUCUUGACUAUGUGGGGGCAAGGCCUCAUGUAGCCCAGGCUGACUUUUAGUGGAUCAUCCUGCCUCCAUCUUCCAAGUGCUGGGACUACAGGUUUGUGAGACCAAAACCAGCUAAUCUUUCUUUUUAAGUUUAAUUUUUUAAAGAGUCUUACUAUGCAGCCCUGUCUGGCCUUGAAGUCAACAGAGUGCUGGGGUUAAAGGUGUGCACUACCCUACCACACCUGGCAUUUUCUUUAAAUAUUAAAGCACCCACAUUUGACAAUUUUCAGUUUCCCAACUUGGGGAAACACUAUUUAGAAAACUCAGUUAUCUGCAAUCAAGGCGGCAGGUUCCUAGGCUCACCGCACUUGCCCAGCAGCUCCUCACCUGUGUGUUACAUGUCAUGGUCUGUCUGAGGAGGUGAAUGAUGAUGAGGUGCCACAGUCAGAUGCCUUGCUCCUAAGCAGAACAUUUGAGGCUGGCAUUGCAUACUCUUUCCUCGGCUGAGGACAGCAAGAGGAGACCUGGAGGUGCAUCCCACCAGAGGGUAUGUUUCUGCCAGGCUCUCCCAGGUCCCUCCUGCGCACAAGUCUCUUCACUUGGCUGUGUCAGAAACUGAGUCUGAGCAAAGAAAGACCAAGUAGGCAGACUUAAACUCAGCAUGGAUUUUCAUUUCCACAAGAUCCUUUUCAAGUUGUAGAGAAAUUUAAUAGAAGUAUAUACAAAUUAGACACUGCUAGUAUGUACAAAAGUAUUUUCUACAUUUUUGAACAAUAUCAACUAUGCCACUUGCAGUAAACAGGAUGUUACAAAAUCGUUCAAUAAAGCAUUUUCUAUUAAGCACA
Molecule: long non-coding RNA, 1631 nt
Organism: Arvicanthis niloticus (Nile rat)
Lineage: Eukaryota; Metazoa; Chordata; Mammalia; Rodentia; Muridae
Source: RefSeq, a predicted model, not a curated record